AAACUAACAAGGAUUCCCCUAGUAACUGCGAGUGAAGCGGGAAAAGCUCAAAUUUAAAAUCUGGCGCAAGCCCGAGUUGUAAUCUGGAGAAGCAUUUUCUGUGUCGGACCGUGUACAAGUCUCUUGGAACAGAGCGUCAUAGAGGGUGAGAAUCCCGUCCAUGACACGGACUACCGAUGCUUUGUGAUAUGCUCUCGAAGAGUCGAGUUGUUUGGGAAUGCAGCUCAAAAUGGGUGGUAAAUUCCAUCUAAAGCUAAAUAUUGGCGAGAGACCGAUAGCGAACAAGUACCGUGAGGGAAAGAUGAAAAGCACUUUGGAAAGAGAGUUAAACAGUACGUGAAAUUGUUGAAAGGGAAACGCUUGAAGUCAGUCGCGUUGUCUGGAACUCAGCCUUGCUUGCAUGGUGUACUUUCCAGUUAACGGGUCAACAUCAAUUUUGGUUGGUGGAUAAAGGUAGAGGGAAUGUGGCAUCUUCGGAUGUGUUAUAGCCCUUUGCUGCAUACACUGACUGGGAUUGAGGUCUGCAGCACGCCGUCAUGGCCGGGGGUUCGCCCUACGUAACGUGCUUAGGAUGUUGGCAUAAUGGCUUUAAUCGACCCGCUC
This 603-nucleotide ribosomal RNA is filed under the name Xylodon nesporii. RNAcentral describes it as "partial 28S ribosomal RNA". It matches the Rfam family "Eukaryotic large subunit ribosomal RNA", at positions 62 to 654 of the family's 3401-position model. Lineage: Eukaryota; Fungi; Basidiomycota; Agaricomycetes; Hymenochaetales; Schizoporaceae. The record is from RNAcentral.